UGCAUUUCAUUUUUCAAAUUUUUAUACAAAGCAGAUCGACAUACAUUUCGUUCUAUCACUUGCAAUUUUACUCGACGCCAUUUUAUUAUUUUUCCUAUUUAAGAAUUCCUUGUAAAAAAAUUACUAUAAAAAAAAUUACAAUGCCAGAAGAUUAUGCGUAAGAAAUUAUAAGCGCAUAUAUACUAAAUACAUAAUGCUAUUGCUAUACUGGAACUUACGUCAGCGACCGUAGUUCAAACCAUACGCAUGUUAACGGUAGUGGCCGACCACCAACCUUCCAGCAAAAUGUAGGGACCAUUUUUAAUUAAUGAUUCGAUUAUUUGAUUGUUUUGAUUAAAUGAUAUUAGUAUAAAAUUCGCAAUUGAUUCGAUUAAAUGAUAAAUAAAUAUGUACCUAAUGGAUAAAUAAAAUAUUUUUACGGCAGUUUUCUUCACAUUUUAUGGUCAUCAAAUUAUUUGAUAAAGUUAGUACCUACCUAUCUACUUACCCAUAUCAUCCAGGUUCAAUUACACUGAAAAAAAGAAAUAGCUGAACCAGUUUUGCUAUUUGCAAAUUUCUUUAAUAGAUACCAAACUUUGGUUGUAAUUAUCUAAACCAAUGUAACUGCAUGUCCCAAACCAGAUAAGCUAAUCAGUUCUUGAUAAUCAGUAAUCAAAAUGUUAGCUAUUAUUUAUUAAAAUAAACCAGUCAAACUACUUUAGCUGCAAGAACAAACUGUUUCAUAGCUGGUAACCGAACAUAUGUACUUAAAUUUAAUACAAUGUUGAUUAAAACAUUGUCAUGAAUUUAUUUAUAGAUAACACAAUCAAAGUCAUUAUUUGGACAUUCAUCAAUUUAUUUAUUUGUAGUAAACUUUUCUAGCAGCCAUUAAAUCAUCAUUUGAUUAAUAUUUGCCUAGGUAUGUCGAAUGUAUGAAGUUAAAAUAAAAAUGUAAGUAUUAUCACAAAACUGUUUAACAAUAUUUAAUUAAAAUAUUGUUAAAACUAGUUGGCACUGUUGGCAGCACUGCGUCCGAGUCAGUACAUUAAAGUUAUAUGCGAUUCACGUUAGAACUCGUUCUCUGCGUUCGGUCAUUAUUGUGUGGCUUGGCUGGUGAAGGCGGCAAAUCGAAUUGAUUUUCACAUUCCUAUUGUUUUCGGGAGAUUUGUAGCGACAUUAUGUAUAUAAAAAAACUUAGUAAACGUGUUUUCGUAAUAAAUAGUGCAAUGGCAGACGGUCAAGACGAGACCUCCGCUGAUCCUAUGAGUGACUAUUUGCGCUUAUGGGGUCUUGAAAUGUACAUAAAUUUGUUCAAAGCAUAAUAUCCAUGAUGAUAGCAUCCCUGCAUCAUCGCAUCAUCAAAUGCUGUGUGUAUCAAUAACUUGCCAAUCCUUACUGAUAGCAUCAUACAUUACCUACUAGUAUAUUGCUGAAUCAGGACUUGAAAACUUACAGAACUUGGAUAAAUAUACAGAAUGAGGAAGUACCAAACUUAAAUACAAAUGGAGUAUACAACACUUUGAGUUCAUGUAAUGAAGGAAAAGGACUACUUCUUCGCUACAAAGAAAAUGGAAUGAAUUCCUGAAAGUUAAUUCUUCUAAGUAUCUUCGCGGCGCCUCUCCCGGUGUGCACUGAAUUAUAUAAAAUGAAGAAAACAGACUAUGAAUGUUAUGUUAAAUUUUAAACUCAAGUAAUGUGUUUGACAUUAAUUUGGGCUAAGCAAUGUCUUAUUAAUAUUUGGUUAACUAUUCUUUAUUUUUAUUAGCCCUAUUUAUGUUUUAUAAUAUAUUGGUGUUUGAUUACCAGUUAUUAUACAAUGGAGAUACUACAGCGUAUGUAACUUAAAUUUAAUAAUCUGGAUUUUCUUGAGUGAAUGACAAGACAUUAAAUUGUGUUAUUUUAUUUUUUUGAACAUUUUAAAUAAAUAAUUCAAAAAAAUUACUUAUAUAAUAUACAUUUUUUUAUUCAUUAUUGCACUUAGCCCGUUAUCCCUAUGUUAAGGUGGCUGUUAGACCUGUAUAUACAUCCACAAGGCAGGACACCAUUUGAUAAUAUUAUUGGGAUUUACUGGAUUGAUAUGAUUAAUCAUAUCAAUCCAGUACAUCCCAAUAAUAUUGAAGGUGGCCUGUAGAUCCAGGUCCAAUAGCAGAUCUAGGACCAGCUACUGGUAAAUAAACCAACAGGAGCAGGUAAACAAACAAUGCUGUUACCUCCACAUAAAGUGUUUGUCUACUAGUAAUGAAACAGAUUAGCAAGAGAUAACCACACCUUAACAUUAAUUAUUAAACAAAUAAUUUAAUAUUUCUUACUGAACUGUUAGAUUUACUAGUUAUUUAACACUUUAGCUUUAAUUAGCCAAAGUAACUUUGCUAAAGCAACUUUACCGGAGCACUAUUGACAGCCAAACAGUUUAGUUCAAAUAACAAAACUAAGUUAUCACCAGUUACCUAAAAGAAGUUAAUAUAAUAUUACUAAACUCUGUUUACAAAACAUGUUUUAGUUACUUGUAGCCCUCAGUUUAGUAGUCACUCGAUUUUGGUGAUAUGCAGCUAAACUUUUAGCUACUAGCAACCAUUUUUUUUUUUUCAGUGUAGCUAACUAGAGGCAAUACUAUUAGGUACAAUAAAACGAUUAGUUUACCUAAAAAAGAAUACUGAUGUGGCCAUGGCAAAUAUUCUCUAAGGCUUAUUUAAAAACCGUUUGUACUCUAAACUAAGGCCAUUAAAUGUAAAGUGUGAGACAAGGUCCUAACUUUUGGGAUUUAUCUCCACUGAGGUGGCCGGCUGCGGGUUAGUGGAGAGUUAAUGAAAAUUUGCUUUUUAACGAUCUUUGUACUUUAUUGUAACUUCUAUUGUACUUUAGUGUAGUAAAAAUAAGAUAGAUUUUGUCCAAAUCUAUGUUAUUUUUACUAUAUGUUAUUUUUUUGUAAAAUAGAUUUUUGUAAAGUUUUGCAAAGUCUUGCGCGUCGUCAGUUUGUGUAAAUUAGGUAUGUAAUUACGUCGAUGCACGCAACAUGAUUAGUCUCAAAAUUAUGAAUAGGGAGCAUCAUGUUUGAAGUGAAAUGUCUUUAGAGUAUUGGUUCAAAAUUAGAACAAACACUUACACCCCUAAGCUUCAUCUCAACUCAAAAAAGAUAGUCGCUUCGCCCCAUUAGCAAAAUGAAAAAUAAAAUACUGCUCUGAUUAUUUUAAGUGAAAGAUCAUUUAUCUUUCCUACCAUACGUCAAAGCAAACGUUUAACAAACUACAGUAUUUUAACUACUGAUGCAAAAACAGGGUAAAACAUAGUUAACUAUGGUACUGCUAACUAUGCUAUUAUAGAAUAAUUUUAUAGUUUAUUUGUGGCAUCGAUUAAUAGUUUAAGGGUUUUUUUAUUAUAUAUUUCCAAUAAAUUUUAUUUAUGUUCUUAUAUUAUUAGGGGUACAUACAUAGCAAGAAGUAGAUGUCCUGGGGCCUACCUCGAGACCAAUUCUAGAUAAUAUAUUUUUA
Long non-coding RNA from Plodia interpunctella (Indianmeal moth), 3467 nucleotides. RefSeq lists it as uncharacterized. The record is from RefSeq and is a predicted model, not a curated record. The transcript is spliced from 3 exons. NCBI's taxonomy places the organism in Eukaryota, Metazoa, Arthropoda, Insecta, Lepidoptera, Pyralidae.